This is a long non-coding RNA of Artibeus jamaicensis (Jamaican fruit-eating bat), 2238 nucleotides long. RefSeq lists it as uncharacterized. The record is from RefSeq and is a predicted model, not a curated record. The transcript has 3 exons. Lineage: Eukaryota; Metazoa; Chordata; Mammalia; Chiroptera; Phyllostomidae.
UACUGGCUAAGUUUCUUAAGUGCUGGAAAGGUUCCUGAGGCACGCUCCCCUGACCAAAAAGUUCUGCCAUGAAUAAAGGUGCCUAAAAUCCUGCUAUUGAAGCUUCCUGUGUGUCAGAAGUGAUUUGUUUGGUUUUUCACAUUUUCAGAUUAAAACACACAUGCCAUUUUAGAUGAUAAGCUGAAACCUCUGGGAGGAUAACCAAAGGUUCAACUUCAGGUGAGCCUCACACCUCUGGUGGCCCGCCCUGCCACACGGGCACCGGCACAGGGCUGGGUGUUCUCCCCGCGUCAUCUCGCUAACUGCCCAGACGGAACCCUGAGGGCCGCUGACGUCAGCAAGUCUUCCAGCUGGAGUUCUCCUCUCUCUCUUCAGCCUUCAAAAAGUCUCUUCUUCAGGUUGUCGAGGGACAUGCAUAAAGGGCACAUGGACAAAGCCAAAGCAGACUGCUUGAUUGAUUCUGCUCCAAAAUCCUACUGCUUUCCAAGGGAGCAAAGGAUGAGCCCAAGUAAUUUGUGAAACAGAAGCCGGGGGCUGGCCUGGCACCUGGACCACAAGGCUGGAAAGGCUGCCACGCCAUGUCCUCAGAAGGAAUCCGUCUCGCCCCCUGAUGGGCCGGCAAAGCUGCUGCAAGCCCAGCUCACGCUCCUCAGCUGGAACCUGUGUUUGCUGGGCCCUUGAUGAACCGCAAAGAUUCUUUGGAAACCAGCUGUCAAAUCUAUGCUGACUUGCUAGCAGAAUUUUAAAAAGAAGGUCGUCCUCAGGGCCUGCGAGCCCUCGCCACCUCGUCAGGUGGCCCGACCUCCUGUCAGAACCCUUUGCCUACGGCAUCGAUGAUGUGAAACGGGCGGUGUGUGCCGGCCUCUUCAAAGGGGAGUACCAUCAGAUUCUUUCAGUGGGCCGAGCUCAUUGUCUCCAGGAGGCUGCACGUGAUCUGUGGCGCGACCUUGUCCUCCCCACAGUGAAAAGCAGACCCGGUGGGACCCCCUGGCCCAGCAAAGCCAGUGUUUCUGGAAUCACUGACGGAGAAAAUUCACCGCACUCUGAACUCUGCCAGAAAUUCCUCAGGUUUAUUCAGUUAAUCUCUGUUCCAGCACAAUUCUGAACACGAUUGACCAGUAAUGCUUUAACAAGCGACUGUUUGGCAAGUCAAAACGUAAAGAAUCUCUUUUUGUACUAAGCAAUAAAAUAAACUGGGUAAGAGUUCUUUGACACUAAAGCGACGUGGUGACUUGUCUGCUUUACGCCGUAUUUAACAGCGUUGAGAUGUCACGAGGGCGGUCCCCCGGGAAGCAACACCGCUCUCUUCUGGAUUUUGUAACUUCUUCACAGGCCCGUGUAUUUGGUGUUGGUUCUGAAAGGUUUGCCAGGGCAUCUGGCCAGAACUACUCAAGUUCUAACAAAAUGCAUUCUUCCACAUUCUGCGGAUAUCUAUUUUCCAUAUUCUGGUCUGAAGAAAAGGUAUAGACUCUGCCUUGGAUGUAAAUAAAACACACAUAGAGAGAGUAAUUUUUCCUCAAGAAAAAAAAUCUGUAUUCCAGAACAAUCAUUUGUUCAACCAAACCACCUUGUGGCAGUGGUUCUUAAGACGUGGUGCCCAGGGUGGCGGCGGCAGCAGCCCCCGGAAACGGUUAGAAAUGCAGAGUCCCAGGCCCCUCCCAGCCCCACUGACUCGGAGACCCUGGGGCGGGGCCCAGAAGCCUGAGCUUUCACACACCCUGCAGGGGCGUCCUUCUCGAGUGUGAGAACCGGGGCCUUAGCUGUCAACAUUGGUUGUCCAGUAACUUUGAGGGUAAGACUCGUCCGAACAUAAGAAGCCCCCUGGGCAGCGAAUGGCAGGUUGACAUGCAGAUUCCUGGGAUCUUCUUUUCAUAUCCUGACCCAGUGCAGAAAGGGGAGGGCCUGGGGGCCACGUUUUCCCCAACGCCCCAUCUAUCACUGUUACAUAUCACCUCCCACUCAGGGAAACAUCGCAUAGAGCAAUGAGAGGGCGCGGAAGAUAUUCUCCUGCUGACUCACUCAUGCCUGGGCCAGUGCUAAGGUAAUUUAAUGGGAAUUGAUUCUUAAUUGCCCAGAACACCCGAGCGCUGGGCUGGAGCACGACCUUUUCAGCCCCGUGAAAUGAGGGGCCUGCCCUGCAGCCCGAGCAGUCGAGCAGCCUGGAGAGCCCUCGCUACACACAGAUUCGAAACACUUCAAAUCGAUUGGCUUCUUAUUAAAGUGUACUUCAAUAAAAAU